This is a long non-coding RNA of Drosophila serrata, 473 nucleotides long. NCBI's taxonomy places the organism in Eukaryota, Metazoa, Arthropoda, Insecta, Diptera, Drosophilidae. The record is from RefSeq and is a predicted model, not a curated record.
GCUUCUGGAAGCCGCACGCUCCUCCUGGUACAACUGUAACCGGUACGAUGAGGAUGAGGCCAAUACAGCUCGUGAUGCCCAGGAGAAGUAGCACUCAUCCUUGGCCAGAACUUCUUGAUUCUGCAUGCAGCAGAAGGAGGAUAUUGAAACGGGUUUGGAGGAGUCCGCUCAGCAUUCGCAGACGGUGCAGCGCGUGCAGACUACCAAAAUGAAGGCGGAGGAUUUGCAACAAUACGCCAGCAAUGGGGCACCGUCUGAAGCGAGCUUGACGAAAGCAAGCUGUAAAACAUGGAGUUGGAGUCGAUAGACAAAUUCUUUUCGGCUUAACAAAAGAAUGCGGUAUCGGCUAUUGAUGGCUCCUAUGAGGAUCUGCGAGCAACUGGCGGCAAGCCAGCCAAGCAAGCAAGGUGCUCUCAGAGAUCGAUGGACGCCGGGCCCAGAACUGCACCAUCCUGCUCAGCAAGCUGAAGAUG